RNAcentral lists this ribosomal RNA (465 nucleotides) under uncultured bacterium. RNAcentral describes it as "partial 16S ribosomal RNA". It matches the Rfam family "Bacterial small subunit ribosomal RNA", at positions 338 to 795 of the family's 1533-position model. The record is from RNAcentral.
CCUACGGGAGGCUGCAGUGGGGAAUUUUGGACAAUGGGCGCAAGCCUGAUCCAGCUAUUCCGCGUGUGGGAAGACGGCCUUCGGGUUGUAAACCACUUUUGUAGAGAACGAAAAGUCUGUUGAUAAUACCGAUAGAUGAUGACGGUACUCUAAGAAUAAGCACCGGCUAACUACGUGCCAGCAGCCGCGGUAAUACGUAGGGUGCGAGCGUUAAUCGGAAUUACUGGGCGUAAAGGGUGUGCAGGCGGUUUUGCAAUAUGGAUGUGAAAGCCCCGGGCUUAACCUGGGAAAGCCAUACAUGACUGCAAGACUAGAGUGCGUCAGAGGGGGGUGGAAUUCCAAGUGUAGCAGUGAAAUGCGUAGAUAUUUGGAAGAACACCGAUGGCGAAGGCAGCCCCCUGGGACGCAACUGACGCUCAUACACGAAAGCGUGGGGAGCAAACAGGAUUAGAUACCCCUGUAGUC